This is a non-coding RNA of Vicia faba (fava bean), 225 nucleotides long. NCBI's taxonomy places the organism in Eukaryota, Viridiplantae, Streptophyta, Magnoliopsida, Fabales, Fabaceae. The record is from the annotation of a GenBank genome assembly.
AUGCCCACCACGCUGGAAAUCGCCUCCGGCGGCGGGGCUGCUCCAAUCACCAAGUUAAGGUCACCACUACACUUCUCUCUCAACACUCUCUUCAAACCUACUCUCCUUCUCAGAAACCCACACCCAUCUCUUCAAAUGAUUAGAGCAUUACAAAACCCUAACCCAAUCGAAUCAAAAUUAAAUGCUCAUGAUGUGCUGAAUGGGAUGUCAAGCUUAGGGCUAUGA